Molecule: small RNA, 93 nt
Filed under: Salmonella enterica subsp. enterica
Lineage: Bacteria; Pseudomonadati; Pseudomonadota; Gammaproteobacteria; Enterobacterales; Enterobacteriaceae
Description: partial RtT sRNA
Rfam family: RtT RNA
About the family: This family represents a bacterial cis-regulatory element known as RtT RNA.
Source: RNAcentral
GAGGUUCGACUCGAGCGAAACGAGAGAACGUUGCGUUAGCAACGGCCCGCAGGGCGAGUCACGCAGUGGCGAGUCAUCCUCUAUCACCGGCAG